Long non-coding RNA from Suricata suricatta (meerkat), 379 nucleotides. RefSeq lists it as uncharacterized. The transcript has 3 exons. NCBI's taxonomy places the organism in Eukaryota, Metazoa, Chordata, Mammalia, Carnivora, Herpestidae. The record is from RefSeq and is a predicted model, not a curated record.
AUGAGAGACAGAGACCAGGCAGGUUAGGCCGAUGUGACCGUGUCCUCCCCAGGCCACGAAGGGAGCAGGAACUUCAGGUGGUCUUCAUCAAGCUACAUGGUGGCCACGGUCACUGUCAAGGGCAGGAUGAUCACAGGCAGUGACACUGGACUCAGUGGGAUCCAGGCACAUGACGUGCAGAACCCGCUCCAUUUCAGGGAGAUGAGAUACCUGUCUGUGCAGCUAAAGGCAGUGGAGAGGAGCCCAAAGAGUCAGCAGAUGUGAGGGAACUUUAUCAGAGGAAGGCCACCUCUGGAAGGUAGCAAAAACCAAAAGGAUCUCUGGAUUAUCUGUGUGGGCUUUUUACUUUGCUUGUUUUUACCAAAAAAAAAGGUAAGAA